RNAcentral lists this ribosomal RNA (936 nucleotides) under uncultured bacterium. Its description in RNAcentral is "bacterial SSU rRNA". It matches the Rfam family "Bacterial small subunit ribosomal RNA", at positions 474 to 1397 of the family's 1533-position model. The record is from RNAcentral.
UGUACCUCAUGAAUAAGGUUCUGCAAACUACGUGCCAGAAGCAUCGGUGAUACGUAGGAACCAAACAUUAUCCGGAUUUACUGGGCGUAAAGAGAUGCGUAGGCGUCUUGGUAAGUUCUAUGUUAAAUCUUCGGGCCUAACCCGGAAACCGCAUGGAAAACUACCUUGAUUGAGUCAGCUAGAGGAAGACGGAAUUCCCGGUGUAGCAGUGAAAUGCGUUGAUAUCGGGAAGAACACCAAUGGCGAAGGCAGUCUUCUGGGGCUUGACUGACGCUAAGGCUCGAAAGCGUGGGGAGCAAAACGGAUUAGAUACCCGUGUAGUCCACGCCCUAAACUAUCUCCGCUAAUUGUCGGGACUGGCUUAGUUCUUUCUUCGGAAAGGAUUGAGCAGUUUCGGUGAUGUAGUUAACGCGUUAAGCGGAGCGCCUGGGGAGUACGGCCGCAAGGCUAAAACUCAAAGGAAUUGACGGGGACCCGCACAAGCGGUGGAGCGCUUGGUUUAAUUCGAUGCUAAGCGAAGAACCUUACCAGGGCUUGAACUAUAGCUGCAUCUUUGGUGAAAGCCAGAGAGCCUUCGAGGGUGCUAUAGAGGUGCUGCAUGGCUGUCGUCAGCUCGUGUCGUGAGAUGUAGGGUUAAGUCCCGCAACGAGCGCAACCCCUAUUCGCUGUUAAAAUUUCUGCGAAAACUGCCUCGCCAAAACGAGGAGGAAGGUGGGGAUGACGUCUAGUCCUCAUAGCCCUUAUGUCCUGGGCUACACAAGCGCUACAAUGGGUGGUACAAAGGGUUGCCAAACCGCAAGGUGGAGCUAAUCCCAAAAAACCAUCCUCAGUUCAGAUUGUCGGCUGCAAUUCGCCGGCAUGAAGUCGGAAUUGCUAGUAAUCGCGGAUCAGCAUGCCGCGGUGAAUACGUUCUCGGGUCUUGUACACACCGCCCGU